Molecule: long non-coding RNA, 1114 nt
Filed under: Ananas comosus (pineapple)
Lineage: Eukaryota; Viridiplantae; Streptophyta; Magnoliopsida; Poales; Bromeliaceae
Description: long non-coding RNA (ACOM_LNC006977)
Source: RNAcentral
UUUUUGGUUAGCUCUCGGGUUGCCUUCAGCGGGCUGCGUACCGGUACGGGUUAGCUUGCUGUACCGGUACGUGAUCGAUGGCUGUACCGGUACGUGGUGGUGUACCGGUACACAGACCAUUUCCCAGCAAACCCGAGGCUUGGGUUUGGCUUUUCGUGGGUGGUGUACCGGUACACAAACCCGUGUACCGGUACACAGUGCAGAGCGGGCUGUUUUCGUGGAGGGGUGUUUUUGCAAUUGUUGCAACCCCUUUAUAAACAACCCCAGCCCCUUUGAGAGCUCCUUUGAGCCCUAAACCUGAGGAGACAAGGUAAGAACUCCCUCUCUUGAGUUCUCUUCCAUUUUUGAUGGAUUUUGGUGGGUUUUGAUCUUCUCCUCCUUGCUUUUCUUGCUUCUUUUUGGGUUUCCUCCAUUUGCAUUCAUCAUGACAUGUGGACAGAUACUGACUUAGAGUAUUACUUGGACUUCGACUAGAAUAGUAAACAACGGAACUUUACUAUUUCGCAUUGUGAAUAUUAUAAUAGUUGGAGACUUUCACUUCGUGCAUAGUUGCUUCAUCCUUAUGCUAUUUAUGCUAAGUAGAGAUAUCAUGUUGUAGUAAGUUACAUUUUUACUUGCCUUUCGCUUUCCUACAUUUAUAGUCACUGACAUCUUUUGUAGCUUUGGGCCUUGUGGUGCAUUCACUGAAGUCAGUAAUUGCCCACUGGGAACUAUUUUAAUAGUUCUCACGCCCCUGUUUCUAUGUUUCCUUUUCAGAGCCUUCGGCACCGGCGGAGGCACGGGAUCGCGGCAAGGGUGUCGCGUAGCCAUCCCGGGAGAGUUUCUUUUGCGCUAGGUGGUUGCUUUUUCUCCAUUUUGUAUUUUGAGAGAGUGUGAGGCUUUGUACCCUGUAUAGAGAGACCACUUUGUACUCCUUUUAGCACUUGUUAUGAGAUCCCCAUUGUACUUACUUUAUGUUCUAUUUAGUGGAUUUACAGUUUUAUCCUUAUCCCUUGUUGUAGCAUUUAGACAUUUAUUAUGCUCUGAUACUCCUAGAUGUCUUUUAUUAUUGCUUUUAUUAUGUCUGUUUUUAGACGCCUUAUAUUGUUGUAGACAUAUGGCGGGUCUGGGCACG